Molecule: ribosomal RNA, 240 nt
Filed under: uncultured bacterium
Lineage: Bacteria
Description: partial 16S ribosomal RNA
Rfam family: Bacterial small subunit ribosomal RNA
Source: RNAcentral
CGUGGGUAACCUGCCUUAUAGUGGGGGAGUAGCCUUCGAAAGAAGAUUAAUACCGCAUAAGAUUGUAGUAUCGCAUGAUAUAGCAAUUAAAGGAGCAAUUCGCUAUAAGAUGGACCCGCGUCGCAUUAGCUAGUUGGUGAGGUAAUGGCUCACCAAGGCGACGAUGCGUAGCCGACCUGAGAGGGUGAUCGGCCACAUUGGGACUGAGACACGGCCCAGACUCCUACGGGAGGCAGCAUG